GGUGAAGGAACUUCUACUAAAAACGCACACAUCCUUUGUGCAACGUAGAAGUCACCACGUCCUGUGGA
This 68-nucleotide small RNA is filed under the name Alteribacillus persepolensis. RNAcentral describes it as "Bacillus sp. HS-136 Bacillaceae-1 RNA". It matches the Rfam family "Bacillaceae-1 RNA". Lineage: Bacteria; Bacillati; Bacillota; Bacilli; Caryophanales; Bacillaceae. The record is from Rfam by way of RNAcentral.